RNAcentral lists this ribosomal RNA (253 nucleotides) under uncultured bacterium. Its description in RNAcentral is "partial 16S ribosomal RNA". It matches the Rfam family "Bacterial small subunit ribosomal RNA", at positions 524 to 776 of the family's 1533-position model. The record is from RNAcentral.
UACAGGGGGUGCGAGCGUUGUUCGGAUUCACUGGGCGUAAAGGGUGCGUAGGCGGUCGGGUAAGUCUGAUGUGAAAUCUCACAGCUUAACUGUGAAACUGCAUUGGAUACUAUCCGGCUCGAGGAAUGGAGGGGAGACUGGAAUACUUGGUGUAGCAGUGAAAUGCGUAGAUAUCAAGUGGAACACCAGUGGCGAAGGCGAGUCUCUGGACAUUUCCUGACGCUGAGGCACGAAAGCCAGGGGAGCAAACGGG